AUUGCAUAAGAGGAUGAGGUAAAAUCUGAACACACUUUAGAUUUUAUAUUUGAUGAGCUUCAAGAUACCUUUCAUGAAUUGCUUGAUGAAUUCAAGAAAAUCAAUUUGAAAAAUAAGAUUUGAACAUAAAAAAUUAUUCUUUGUCAAAAGAAAAAAAAGGAGAUUUUACAAAGCAAUAAGAUUUUGAUGGAAGAAAAUGAUUCUCUAAAGAAGGAAGUAGAAAAGCUUAAACCUUUGGUUAACAAGUUUACAUGUAGUUUUACAAAACUCUAAAAAAUUUUGAGCAACCCAAAAAUAGUUUUCAAUAAAGCCGGUCUUAAUUUUAAUCCUAACAACAAACAAAAGUUUUUGAAAAACUUUUUUACUAGUUCCUCAUCGCAUGCUACUUCAAAAGUCACUUAUUUUUACUAUGAAAAAAUAGGACAUAAAGCUUAUUCCUGCAAUUUCAGAAAGUUAAAUGGUAAAGUAGUUAAGAAAGUUUGAGUUCUAAAAGGAUCCUUAGUUAC
RNAcentral lists this long non-coding RNA (506 nucleotides) under Elaeis guineensis (African oil palm). Its description in RNAcentral is "long non-coding RNA (EGUI_LNC014256)". Lineage: Eukaryota; Viridiplantae; Streptophyta; Magnoliopsida; Arecales; Arecaceae. The record is from RNAcentral.